GAUGAACGCUGGCGGCGUGCCUAAUACAUGCAAGUCGAGCGAACGGACGAGAAGCUUGCUUCUCUGAUGUUAGCGGCGGACGGGUGAGUAACGCGUGGAUAACCUACCUAUAAGACUGGGAUAACUUCGGGAAACCGGAGCUAAUACCGGAUAAUAUUUUGAACCGCAUGGUUCAAAAGUGAAAGACGGUCUUGCUGUCACUUAUAGAUGGAUCCGCGCUGCAUUAGCUAGUUGGUAAGGUAACGGCUUACCAAGGCAACGAUGCAUAGCCGACCUGAGAGGGUGAUCGGCCACACUGGAACUGAGACACGGUCCAGACUCCUACGGGAGGCAGCAGUAGGGGAUCUUCCGCAAUGGGCGAAAGCCUGACGGAGCAACGCCGCGUGAGUGAUGAAGGUCUUCGGAUCGUAAAACUCUGUUAUUAGGGAAGAACAUAUGUGUAAGUAACUGUGCACAUCUUGACGGUACCUAAUCAGAAAGCCACGGCUAACUACGUG
RNAcentral lists this ribosomal RNA (497 nucleotides) under uncultured bacterium. Its description in RNAcentral is "partial 16S ribosomal RNA". It matches the Rfam family "Bacterial small subunit ribosomal RNA", at positions 28 to 507 of the family's 1533-position model. The record is from RNAcentral.